GGAAAGGUAGUCUAAAAUAAGACAUUUGAUUGUUAAUCAUAGAAUGUGACGGUUGAUCGCACCCUUUUCG
RNAcentral lists this transfer RNA (70 nucleotides) under Crassostrea tulipa. RNAcentral describes it as "tRNA-Asn". It matches the Rfam family "tRNA". From Rfam's summary of the family: Transfer RNA (tRNA) molecules are approximately 80 nucleotides in length. Their secondary structure includes four short double-helical elements and three loops (D, anti-codon, and T loops). The record is from RNAcentral. Lineage: Eukaryota; Metazoa; Mollusca; Bivalvia; Ostreida; Ostreidae.